This 422-nucleotide ribosomal RNA is filed under the name Roseateles sp. Its description in RNAcentral is "bacterial SSU rRNA". It matches the Rfam family "Bacterial small subunit ribosomal RNA", at positions 58 to 476 of the family's 1533-position model. The record is from RNAcentral. Lineage: Bacteria; Pseudomonadati; Pseudomonadota; Betaproteobacteria; Burkholderiales; Sphaerotilaceae.
CAAGUCGAACGGUAACGCGCGGGCAACCUGGCGACGAGUGGCGAACGGGUGAGUAAUGUAUCGGAACGUGCCCAGUUGUGGGGGAUAACUGCUCGAAAGAGCAGCUAAUACCGCAUACGACCUGAGGGUGAAAGCGGGGGAUCGCAAGACCUCGCGCAGUUGGAGCGGCCGAUAUCAGAUUAGGUAGUUGGUGGGGUAAAGGCUCACCAAGCCAACGAUCUGUAGCUGGUCUGAGAGGACGACCAGCCACACUGGGACUGAGACACGGCCCAGACUCCUACGGGAGGCAGCAGUGGGGAAUUUUGGACAAUGGGGGCAACCCUGAUCCAGCCAUGCCGCGUGCGGGAAGAAGGCCUUCGGGUUGUAAACCGCUUUUGUCAGGGAAGAAAAGACUCCUGUUAAUACCGGGGGUUCAUGACGGU